Long non-coding RNA from Numida meleagris (helmeted guineafowl), 820 nucleotides. RefSeq lists it as uncharacterized. NCBI's taxonomy places the organism in Eukaryota, Metazoa, Chordata, Aves, Galliformes, Numididae. The record is from RefSeq and is a predicted model, not a curated record. The transcript has 3 exons.
UGGCUUCCUGUCUGCUUCCCAUCUCCCUGCAGUACUGUGUGGUAGAUUUGAACUGGAGCUGCCCAGGCCAUUAUGGAGUCUGUAAGCACCAAGGCAAGGUGGAACCCUCAUGGCUCAGGCACAUCAUUUUCGAUAAUUAAGUCACAGUGGACUUUUGGAGAACUCUGCUGAAUGAUUGAGAGUCUGUGUACAGCUGGGCCUACUAACAAACUCGGUGCUAGUCCAAGGAGGAUUCCUCUGCCUUGAAUAAACGAGUCGUGUAGAGAAUGAAAUCACAGGUCUGUUCCAGGUAUUGAGGACUGCCAAGGUACACUCUCUCGUCUCCUCCUAUCUCCCAUGACUACAUCUAUGGACUGGCACAGCAGGCAAUGCUCUUUUGGUUAACCUUACCACCUUCUUCCAGUUUCCAAGGGACAAAACAGCAGCAAAAGAAUCUUCCAGAAUAGGUACAAUUUUUGAAUUGUUUCUUUUCCUGAGCUUUGCUGCUUUUAUUACUUGAAGUCAAAUAGAAACAAAAAUAGAAGCAGCGAGAAUAGUGGUCAUUCUCGUCUCAAUACCAGAACUGUAAUAACAUGCAAGUGGCAGAGGAGGAACAUGCAAAUGGAAAAGAGGGGAAGUGCCUCAGUUAAAUCAUCCUCCCCCUCACCCAUUCAGAAUAUGGGCAUUCAGAAGUACAUGGGUUUGAUACUGUGCUGCAGGUGUCAUUCACAUCAAGUAGUAGUAUGCACUGAUAAUCUGCUAAUCACUUCAGUGUUUAUGGUUCCUGAAAGCCUGGAUUUAAAUUUCUCAAAAAUCCUAGUGGAGAUAAGAUUGGUAAAAC